Molecule: non-coding RNA, 74 nt
Organism: Potamilus streckersoni
Lineage: Eukaryota; Metazoa; Mollusca; Bivalvia; Unionida; Unionidae
Source: the annotation of a GenBank genome assembly
GCUUCGGUGGUCUAAUGGUUAGAGCGUCUGCCUCGGAUGCGGGAGGUCCUCGGUUCUAUCCCAGGUUAGGUUCU